This 753-nucleotide long non-coding RNA is filed under the name Homo sapiens (human). Its description in RNAcentral is "non-protein coding lnc-SPRED2-1:11". The record is from RNAcentral. Lineage: Eukaryota; Metazoa; Chordata; Mammalia; Primates; Hominidae.
CAGUUUCCAGGCUGGAGUGUAAUGGCGUGAUCUUGGCUCACUGCAACCUCUGCCUCCCAGCUUCAAGUGAUUCCCCUGCUUUAGCCUCCCAAGCAGCUGGGACUACAGGCAUGCACCAGCAUGGCCGGCUAAUUUUUUUUUGUAUUUUAGUACAGAUGGGGUUUAACCAUGUUGGCCAGGAUGAUCUUGAUCUCCUGACCUCGUGAUCUGCCCACCUCGGCCUCCCAAAGUGCUAGGAUUACAGGCGUGAGCCACCUUGCCCGGCCUUCUAUUCCUUUUUCUAAUGCAUUUGCCCCAGCUAUCUGUAUAGCCUGCAAUCUGGUAGAUGGACCACAGGGAAACCACUGCAGCAAACUAAAAGUGUCUAUCUCAGAUCCUUCCACCACCAUCAUUUCCAAAAUCACCGUCACUAUCUCCACCACCAUCACCUUUACCACCAUCACCACUAUCAUCCUCAUCCUUCCCAUCACCAUCUCCACUGCUAUCUCUCAACACCAUCAUCAUCACCACCACCACCAUCAUCACCAUGAGCACCACCUCUGUCGUCAUCAAAAAAGCACACAGUUCAGGCUGGCCUGUUGGAGGAUAACAGAUCAUGUGGAGCAGAGACGAGCUGGCCCACCUCAGGCCCUACCAGAGCAAUCAGCUUGCCAAACACGACAUACAUCAGCGAGGCCAUCCUAGACCAUCCAGCCCUAGCUGAGCCAGCCCAGACCAGAGACUCAUGAGAAACAGUAAAAUGUUCAUCAUUUU